RNAcentral lists this ribosomal RNA (509 nucleotides) under Salmonella enterica subsp. enterica serovar Bovismorbificans. RNAcentral describes it as "partial 23S ribosomal RNA". It matches the Rfam family "Bacterial large subunit ribosomal RNA", at positions 711 to 1218 of the family's 2925-position model. Lineage: Bacteria; Pseudomonadati; Pseudomonadota; Gammaproteobacteria; Enterobacterales; Enterobacteriaceae. The record is from RNAcentral.
AGACCCGAAACCCGGUGAUCUAGCCAUGGGCAGGUUGAAGGUUGGGUAACACUAACUGGAGGACCGAACCGACUAAUGUUGAAAAAUUAGCGGAUGACCUGUGGCUGGGGGUGAAAGGCCAAUCAAACCGGGAGAUAGCUGGUUCUCCCCGAAAGCUAUUUAGGUAGCGCCUCGUGAAUUCAUCUCCGGGGGUAGAGCACUGUUUCGGCUAGGGGGCCAUCCCGGCUUACCAACCCGAUGCAAACUGCGAAUACCGGAGAAUGUUAUCACGGGAGACACACGGCGGGUGCUAACGUCCGUCGUGAAGAGGGAAACAACCCAGACCGCCAGCUAAGGUCCCAAAGUCAUGGUUAAGUGGGAAACGAUGUGGGAAGGCCCAGACAGCCAGGAUGUUGGCUUAGAAGCAGCCAUCAUUUAAAGAAAGCGUAAUAGCUCACUGGUCGAGUCGGCCUGCGCGGAAGAUGUAACGGGGCUAAACCAUGCACCGAAGCUGCGGCAGCGACGUUUAU